UUAGGAAUAUUGGGCAAUGGAGGGAACUCUGACCCAGCAACGCCGCGUGAAGGAAGAAGGUUUUCGGAUUGUAAACUUCUGAUCUGUGGGAAGAAGAAAGUGACGGUACCACAGGAGAAAGCCACGGCUAACUACGUGCCAGCAGCCGCGGUAAUACGUAGGUGGCGAGCGUUGUCCGGAAUAACUGGGCGUAAAGGGAGCGUAGGUGGCUCUGUAAGUUAGAUGUGAAAGCCCAGGGCUCAACUCUGGAAUUGCAUUUAAAACUGUGGGGCUAGAGUGCAGGAGGGGUAAACGGAAUUUCUAGUGUAGCGGUGAAAUGCGUAGAUAUUAGGAAGAACACCGGAGGCGAAGGCGGUUUACUGGACUGCAACUGACACUGAGGCUCGAAAGCGUGGGAAGCAAACAGG
RNAcentral lists this ribosomal RNA (407 nucleotides) under uncultured bacterium. RNAcentral describes it as "bacterial SSU rRNA". It matches the Rfam family "Bacterial small subunit ribosomal RNA", at positions 355 to 776 of the family's 1533-position model. The record is from RNAcentral.